UACGUAGGUUGCGAUCGUUGUCCGGGAUUAUUGGGCGAAAAGCGCGCGCAGGCGGUCCCUUAAGUCUGAUGUGAAAGCCCACGGCUCAACCGUGGAGGGUCAUUGGAAACUGGGAGACUUGAGUACAGAAGAGGAGAGUGGAAUUCCACGUGUAGCGGUGAAAUGCGUAGGUAUGUGGAGGAACACCAGUGGCGAAGGCGACUCUCUGGUCUGUAACUGACGCUGAGGCGCGAAAGCGGGGGGAGCAAACAGG
RNAcentral lists this unclassified non-coding RNA (253 nucleotides) under uncultured Bacillaceae bacterium. RNAcentral describes it as "contains 16S-23S intergenic spacer region". It matches the Rfam family "Bacterial small subunit ribosomal RNA", at positions 524 to 776 of the family's 1533-position model. The record is from RNAcentral. Lineage: Bacteria; Bacillati; Bacillota; Bacilli; Caryophanales; Bacillaceae.